AUUGAACGCUGGCGGCAGGCUUAACACAUGCAAGUCGAGCGGAGACUUCGGUCUUAGCGGCGAACGGGUGAGUAAUACCUAGGAAUCUGCCCAUUAGCGGGGGACAACGUUUCGAAAGGAACGCUAAUACCGCAUACGCCCUACGGGGGAAAGGCAGGGGAGUCUUUUGACCUUGCACUAAUGGAUGAGCCUAGGCCGGAUUAGCUAGUUGGUAGGGUAAAGGCCUACCAAGGCGACGAUCUGUAGCUGGUCUGAGAGGAUGACCAGCCACACUGGAACUGAGACACGGUCCAGACUCCUACGGGAGGCAGCAGUGGGGAAUAUUGGACAAUGGGGGCGAACCCUGAUCCAGCCAUGCCGCGUGUGUGAAGAAGGCC
Molecule: ribosomal RNA, 377 nt
Filed under: uncultured bacterium
Lineage: Bacteria
Description: bacterial SSU rRNA
Rfam family: Bacterial small subunit ribosomal RNA
Source: RNAcentral